Molecule: ribosomal RNA, 460 nt
Filed under: uncultured bacterium
Lineage: Bacteria
Description: partial 16S ribosomal RNA
Rfam family: Bacterial small subunit ribosomal RNA
Source: RNAcentral
CCUACGGGUGGCAGCAGUGGGGAAUAUUGGUCAAUGGCCGUAAGGCUGACGCAGCCAAGUAGCGUGAGGGAAGACUGCCCUAUGGUUUUUAAACCUCUUUUAUGCGGGGAUAAGGUUGUCCAGGUAUUGAUCUUUGCAUUUACCGCAUGAGUAACGACCGGCUAGUUCCGUGCCGGCCGCCGCGCUACUACGGAGGGUACGGUCGUUGUCUGGAUUUAUUGUGUUUAAAGGGAGCGUAGGCCGGUCGUUAAGCGUACCGUGAAAUUUUGUGGCUCAACGUAGAGAGUGCGGAGCGAACUGGAGAACUGGAGUGCGUGGAAGGCAGGCGGAAUUCGUGGUGUAGGAGUGAAAUGCGUAGAUAUCAGGAAGAACAUCGAGUGCGAAGGCAGCCUGCUGCAGCGUUACUGACGCUGAAGCGCGAAAGCGUGGGUAGCGAACAGGAUUAGAUACCCGAGUAGUC